UUGCGGUGAUGACCAUUUAGGACACCUUUGUAUGACCCAUGAAAAGAAAGUAUGAAAUCUGAGCAAU
Molecule: small nucleolar RNA, 67 nt
Filed under: Mastacembelus armatus (zig-zag eel)
Lineage: Eukaryota; Metazoa; Chordata; Actinopteri; Synbranchiformes; Mastacembelidae
Description: Small nucleolar RNA SNORD58 (ENSMAMG00000012508.2)
Rfam family: Small nucleolar RNA SNORD58
About the family: snoRNA U58 is found in introns 1, 3 and 6 of the ribosomal protein RPL17 gene in humans. U58 is a member of the C/D class of snoRNA which contain C (UGAUGA) and D (CUGA) box motifs. Most of the members of the box C/D family function in directing site-specific 2'-O-methylation of substrate RNAs.
Source: Rfam by way of RNAcentral